This 253-nucleotide ribosomal RNA is filed under the name uncultured bacterium. Its description in RNAcentral is "partial 16S ribosomal RNA". It matches the Rfam family "Bacterial small subunit ribosomal RNA", at positions 524 to 776 of the family's 1533-position model. The record is from RNAcentral.
UACGAAGGGGGCUAGCGUUGUUCGGAUUUACUGGGCGUAAAGCGCACGUAGGCGGACUAUUAAGUCAGGGGUGAAAUCCCGGGGCUCAACCCCGGAACUGCCUUUGAUACUGGUAGUCUUGAGUUCGAGAGAGGUGAGUGGAAUCCCGAGUGUAGAGGUGAAAUUCGUAGAUAUUCGGAGGAACACCAGUGGCGAAGGCGGCUCACUGGCUCGAUACUGACGCUGAGGUGCGAAAGCGUGGGGAGCAAACAGG